RNAcentral lists this ribosomal RNA (392 nucleotides) under uncultured bacterium. Its description in RNAcentral is "partial 16S ribosomal RNA". It matches the Rfam family "Bacterial small subunit ribosomal RNA", at positions 523 to 918 of the family's 1533-position model. The record is from RNAcentral.
AUACGGAGGAUCUGAGCGUUAUCCGGAUUUAUUGGGUUUAAAGGGUGCGCAGGCGGCCAUUUAAGUCAGCGGUUAAAUCGUGGGGCUCAACCCCAUUCUGCCGUUGAUACUGGGUGGCUUGAUUGCGGUCGAGGUUGGCGGAAUUCGUUGUGUAGCGGUGAAAUGCAUAGAUAUGACGAAGAACACCGAUUGCGUAGGCAGCUGACCAGACCGCAAAUGACGCUCAUGCACGAAAGUGCGGGGAUCGAACAGGAUUAGAUACCCUGGUAGUCCGCACAGUAAACGAUGAAUACUUGUUUUCGGCGAUAUAAUGUCGGAGGCAAAGCGAAAGCGAUAAGUAUUCCACCUGGGGAGUACGCCGGCAACGGUGAAACUUAAAGGAAUUGACGGGG